ACAGGAUUAGAUACCCUGGUAGUCCACGCCGUAAACGAUGUCGACUUGGAGGCUGUUCCCUUGAGGAGUGGCUUCCGGAGCUAACGCGUUAAGUCGACCGCCUGGGGAGUACGGCCGCAAGGUUAAAACUCAAAUGAAUUGACGGGGGCCCGCACAAGCGGUGGAGCAUGUGGUUUAAUUCGAUGCAACGCGAAGAACCUUACCUGGCCUUGACAUCCAGAGAACUUUCCAGAGAUGGAUUGGUGCCUUCGGGAACUCUGAGACAGGUGCUGCAUGGCUGUCGUCAGCUCGUGUUGUGAAAUGUUGGGUUAAGUCCCGCAACGAGCGCAACCCUUAUCCUUUGUUGCCAGCGAUUCGGUCGGGAACUCAAAGGAGACUGCCGGUGAUAAACCGGAGGAAGGUGGGGAUGACGUCAAGUCAUCAUGGCCCUUACGGCCAGGGCUACACACGUGCUACAAUGGCGCAUACAAAGAGAAGCGACCUCGCGAGAGCAAGCGGACCUCAUAAAGUGCGUCGUAGUCCGGAUCGGAGUCUGCAACUCGACUCCGUGAAGUCGGAAUCGCUAGUAAUCGUGGAUCAGAACGCCACGGUGAAUACGUUCCCGGGCCUUGUACACACCGCCCGUCACACCAUGGGAGUGGGUUGCAAAAGAAGUAGGUAGCUUAACCUUCGGGAGGGCGCUUACCACUUUGUGAUUCAUGACUGGGGUGAAGUCGUAACAAGGUAACAUC
Molecule: ribosomal RNA, 731 nt
Filed under: uncultured bacterium
Lineage: Bacteria
Description: bacterial SSU rRNA
Rfam family: Bacterial small subunit ribosomal RNA
Source: RNAcentral